Astatotilapia calliptera (eastern happy) is the source of this 1296-nucleotide long non-coding RNA. The record is from Ensembl. NCBI's taxonomy places the organism in Eukaryota, Metazoa, Chordata, Actinopteri, Cichliformes, Cichlidae.
UGUUGUUGGAAAACAUCUCUCACAUACCAGGACAGCUAAAACGAGCCUAUCUCUGUAAUCCUGUGCCCGCGCGCGUGUGAGUGUAGGACUUGUGCGCGUGUAAUGUGCGCGCAGGUUUGUGCAAGUCCGAGUGCUGAAUUUCAAGUGUUGGGCUUUAUAUCUCAAAAUAACCUAAGCCAGGGAAACUUAAAUGUUUAUCUUUAGGAUAUUCAGUCAGUGUUUACUGAAUGCUUCGUUUGAGAUGCGAAACUGCGCUGGAGAGCUAAACGUGGUGACUAUUUUUGUCUGUAGUGCAGCCCUGAAAUCACACCAUGUAAGUGGGAGACAGAAGGCCAAAUUUGCUCAGCGUUGUGCUUAUUUGGAAGAUUCUGUGAAAAAAAAAAAAAAGAAUAGGGCAAUUAUUUAGCACACUCAGAAAAUUGGUUAUAUUCCUUCCUUAUGCAGUGAUUCCCUGCACAUGCAUUGUGUAUCUAUUUUCUAAUCAUUGCCCUGUGUCAAUUGCAUUUGUGUAUGAAAAGAAAUCAAAAAUCAAAAACAGUACAGGGCAGGAAACACCACAAUUGCUUUCUACUAGUCAAUUAACUUUCUCUGACUAGCCGUAGCCUAUUGACUCUGGUCACACACUACAGCGCCUGAAGUUGACAUUUUGUACCGCUAGGUGGAGCUCCUAGUCUGGGUAGUUGUAUGCACAAUGUGGUUACGAAGCAAAAAAAAAAAAGAAAAAAAAAAGCAACAAGCAGAGGACCAAAAACGACGUCAUUAACCAAAUUCUGUUUUAGAUCCAGCCUGUGGGACUAAGAUGAGCUACCUGCGAUUAACAAAGAAUGUGCAUCAAUAAAAGAGUAAGUAACAGUUUUUAGGUCAGUCCUACACAUAGAUUUUCAAAGACUUAGAAUUAUGAUAUAAAUAUAACCCCCUAAAAGAACACUGAGUUUUCAGGCUACAUGAAAUUCAGUAGAUUUUACUGGAGAAAAAAAAGUUCUUUCAUACCUCUCUUGAACCGAUUUAGUGCUCGACUGUAACGCUACUUACACUUACAAGACACUUCAUUCAGAACACCUUGUUAGUGCUGGUUUACAUCCCCCUUUUGCUUUUAGAACUGACUGAGCCGUUGGUACAAGGCACGAUGGUUUAAUUUCCUGUACACCAAACUGGGACUCGACCAUCUUCUAUAGCCUCGGUUGCCUAAAGCUUCAGUGUGGUACACAGUGUGGUCUUCUGUGCAGGUGUUUAAAGGUCCAGUGUGCUGUGCAUUCAGAAAUGUUCUUUUGAAUACUUUGUAACAAGUGAUUAUUU